RNAcentral lists this unclassified non-coding RNA (318 nucleotides) under Basidiomycota sp. RNAcentral's name for it is "partial contains small subunit ribosomal RNA, internal transcribed spacer 1, and 5.8S ribosomal RNA". The stretch from base 1 to 47 matches the Rfam family "Eukaryotic small subunit ribosomal RNA", at positions 1785 to 1831 of the family's 1831-position model. The record is from RNAcentral. Lineage: Eukaryota; Fungi; Basidiomycota.
AAAGUCGUAACAAGGUUUCCGUAGGUGAACCUGCGGAAGGAUCAUUAUUGAAUAAACUUGGUUGGGUUGUUGCUGGCUUCUAGGAGCAUGUGCACGCCUAAUCCAUUUUUAACCACCUGUGCACCUUAUGUAGACUUGAACAGCUCUCGAGACAAUGUACUCGGUUUGAGAAUUGCUGAUGUGAAAGCUCCAGCUCUUCUUGUGUUCAAGUCUAUGUCUUAUAUAUUACACCCCAUACGAAUGUAUUAGAAUGUAAUGAAUUGGCCUUGUGCCUUUAAAACAUAAAUACAACUUUCAACAACGGAUCUCUUGGCUCUC